This 484-nucleotide ribosomal RNA is filed under the name uncultured bacterium. Its description in RNAcentral is "partial 16S ribosomal RNA". It matches the Rfam family "Bacterial small subunit ribosomal RNA", at positions 30 to 507 of the family's 1533-position model. The record is from RNAcentral.
AUUGAACGCUGGCGGCAGGCCUAACACAUGCAAGUCGAGCGGAUGAAGGGAGCUUGCUCCUGGAUUCAGCGGCGGACGGGUGAGUAAUGCCUAGGAAUCUGCCUGGUAGUGGGGGAUAACGUCCGGAAACGGGCGCUAAUACCGCAUACGUCCUGAGGGAGAAAGUGGGGGAUCUUCGGACCUCACGCUAUCAGAUGAGCCUAGGUCGGAUUAGCUAGUUGGUGGGGUAAAGGCCUACCAAGGCGACGAUCCGUAACUGGUCUGAGAGGAUGUUCAGUCACACUGGAACUGAGACACGGUCCAGACUCCUACGGGAGGCAGCAGUGGGGAAUAUUGGACAAUGGGCGAAAGCCUGAUCCAGCCAUGCCGCGUGUGUGAAGAAGGUCUUCGGACUGUAAAGCACUUUAAGUUGGGAGGAAGGGCAGUAAGUUAAUACCUUGCUGUUUUGACGUUACCAACAGAAUAAGCACCGGCUAACUUCGUG